GUUGGGUGGAAAAUUGCUGAGAAGAACCAGCCAGAGACUCCAACAGAAGCAGCCAAAGCAGGGAUCUUCAGAGAUUCAGAGAACUUUCUACAGGCCCCAAGGGCUUGGCUUCAGCAGCCUAAGAAUUAUGGACAGAACGAAAGGCUAAUCAUGGUCCUGGAUCUUUUGGGGCAGAACUUUGUGAACUCCAGAUUCUGAGACAAUCGGUUUGGUAGCUCAUGGCCUUUUGGUGAGAGGAAUGAGAAAAAGAGCAAGACAGAAGCGAAGUCCUUCCGUACUUUUCUUCAUACUGCCUGUAUUAGAGCAAGAAUCCUGAGUGAACAUAUGGAAUUGUUUGAGAGUUUCACCGAAGUUAAUGCAGCAAAAGAAUUUCCAAGCUGCCCGCACUGCUGCAACAGAUCAGGGAAAAUAGCUGUGAUAGAUUGAAAUGUUUCUGAUUAAAAGAAGCAUUUCAAGAAUACACUUUCAGUGAAAAGCAAAGGCCAUGCACAUAUGAGUAUACACUGGGGAGGGGAAUUCUCCCUCCCACAGUGGCUCCUGAAUGCUGCUGUAAAAAUCCUGGAACUGGUAAAGGGAGAGUUUCUUUGGUACAGGCAUUGCACAGGCAGCCCUAGUUUGUCAUAUGAGGCACCCCACAAGUAGGGAACAUGCUAAGGACUGGAGCGGGUAGAUGCACAGCCAUAUGGGCAUUCGCAGUGUUGGCAGUACUUAUGCUGGGGGAUCCCCAGACCCUUUUUUCCCUUGGGCUACAAGUUCAGUGCUGCACCUCCAAAAGGCACAGUACAGAAUCUCAGUCUGGGUGUUUUGUGUCUGAGUGCAUGCACCCUUACAAAUAUUCAAUGCGUUAUAGGCUUAAAUCUCAUUGACUCAAAAACUCCAUCUGCAAAAUGUGUUUUUUGUCAUAGUAAAUGCCCAUCCCAUGUUCCGGGAGACCUUAAAGAAUUUAAACUGUCUAAUAACAAUUAAUAUAUUACAUACAAAACUGCCUAUAUCAACUUCUCACUGCCUAUAUAAUUGCAACUUCUGCAACCAAGUAUGGCAUUGAUAUAGAUUAUAAUAUAAUUUCUUCCAGUUCUCUCUCCAUUCCCCUCUCCCUCCCUGACAGAAAAUACACAAUGUACAGCUGCAUGUCUACCAGGUUAACCAGUCAGGUCCUGUGGGGAUAAAAAUGGAGGGAAGCACAUUCUUUCACCAAAGUGGUGGUGUUGAAGACUCCCUCUUGAUAGCUCUAUCUCUCUCACUCUGAGGGAGUUCCAACUUGAGUGCCUCUGCUAACUUCAACUGUGACAAUAUGGCUCUAGAGUGUCAAUCUCUUAUGUAACAGGGGUCCAAAUAAUGAAAGGUUUUCAAGAUCAAACCCAACACCUUGAACCUCCUGGGCACCCAUAGGCAGGCACUAUAACUUACAAAGCCCUAUUGUUAUGCUCACUGAGAUGUUGAAGUCAGUAUUUAAUAUAUGUAAAAUGUUAUAUAAAUCUAACAAUUAUUACUACAUGGGACAAUAUCUGAAGUUCACUUUGUCCCACAUAUAGUACUAAGUAGAUAUGACUCACACUGUUGAUACAAUUUUCACUAGUCCUGUUUUAGGUCUUUUUAAGGCUAGAUCACUACAUUAAGGUAGAUCAGAAUUUGUGCAUGUGUGUGUUGUGUGUAUUUGGGUAAGCAAAAUUAUAGUGCUUUUCCAUUUGCAGUCACAUACCCAAAUUGAAUCCUGAGAUGGUCACCUAUCUUCUGCCUUGUCUACACUAGAAAUGGUUUGGCAGUAGAGCUAUACUAGCAAGCCCUCAUAGUGUAGGGGCAGCAAACCCUCAUAGUGUAGGGGCAGCUUAUAUAAGCCAAAGAUUGUUUUGCUAAUAUAGUUUAUACCAGUUAUCCAAACAAAAAAGUUGUACUGGCAAAAGGACCCUUUCCUGGUCUAACUGCAUCCAUACUAGGACUUUUCUUGGCAUAGCGAAAUUGGUUAGGGGUAUGAUUUUUUCACACUCACAACUGACAUAUCUAUAUUGGCAAAACUUUUUAACACUAGACCAAGUUCAAAGUUCCCACAAAGAGUCAAAAUGGUACCAUUCUUUUAUUAAUUAGAAUAUCUUUCUUAUAAGUAUUUUCUUUUAAAACUGUCACAAUUACAUCACUGAUAUAAAAGAUAUUUUUGCGUGGAAUAUAGAAGUAGCAAGCAGAAAGACAGCUUUAGUGUGAAUUUGGCCAAUAAACAUGUGAACCAAUCAAUGGCAAAAGUCAAAGGUUACUGUAUUUGCCUUUAAGGUCAAAGCAGGAAUGAAGCUACUAUAGAAGCAUCCAGAGUUGAGAAGUCAAAUACUUAUUAACGUUGAAGGAAAGUCUGAGCUGAUUACCAGGCUUCCAAUAGGAUUCUAGAUUCCUCUUUCAAAUAAAACACAAUCAAUAUCAUCCAUCACAGCAGUCCUAUUUAUUAGAUUUUUUUUUAUUUAUUUAGGAGGUCUUUGCAGAGUUCAAUUUGUCU
Molecule: long non-coding RNA, 2479 nt
Organism: Mauremys reevesii (Reeves's turtle)
Lineage: Eukaryota; Metazoa; Chordata; Testudines; Geoemydidae
Exons: 3
Source: RefSeq, a predicted model, not a curated record